GUGCUUGCCCCAACAGCACAUAAACUAAAAUUGGAAUGACAGAGUAGAUUAGCAUGGCCCCUGCACAACAAUGAUGAACAAACAUGUGAGGCAUUCCAUAUUUUU
Molecule: small nuclear RNA, 105 nt
Organism: Octodon degus (degu)
Lineage: Eukaryota; Metazoa; Chordata; Mammalia; Rodentia; Octodontidae
Source: Ensembl